CUGUAGCUCAACGGAUAGAGCACUAGUCUACGGAACUAGAGAUAUAGGUUCGAAUCCUUUCUAGG
This 65-nucleotide transfer RNA is filed under the name pig gut metagenome. It matches the Rfam family "tRNA", at positions 7 to 64 of the family's 71-position model. From Rfam's summary of the family: Transfer RNA (tRNA) molecules are approximately 80 nucleotides in length. The record is from RNAcentral.